CCGGGGCGGCAAGGGCAGCGUGCGUAUUGGAUGUGAGAGGGUGGCCGGCCGCGUUGGUACUGAGACACGGCCCAAACUUAUACGGGAGGCAGCAGUAGGGAAUCUUCGGCAAUGGACGAAAGUCUGACCGAGCAACGCCGCGUGAGUGAAGAAGGUUUUCGGAUCGUAAAACUCUGUUGUUAGAGAAGAACAAGGAUGAGAGUAACUGUUCAUCCCUUGACGGUAUCUAACCAGAAAGCCACGGCUAACUACGUGCCAGCAGCCGCGGUAAUACGUAGGUGGCAAGCGUUGUCCGGAUUUAUUGGGCGUAAAGCGAGCGCAGGCGGUUUCUUAAGUCUGAUGUGAAAGCCCCCGGCUCAACCGGGGAGGGUCAUUGGAAACUGGGAGACUUGAGUGCAGAAGAGGAGAGUGGAAUUCCAUGUGUAGCGGUGAAAUGCGUAGAUAUAUGGAGGAACACCAGUGGCGAAGGCGGCUCUCUGGUCUGUAACUGACGCUGAGGCUCGAAAGCGUGGGGAGCAAACAGGAUUAGAUACCCUGGUAGUCCACGCCGUAAACGAUGAGUGCUAAGUGUUGGAGGGUUUCCGCCCUUCAGUGCUGCAGCUAACGCAUUAAGCACUCCGCCUGGGGGAGUACGACCGCAAGGGUUGAAACUCAAAGGAAAUUGACGGGGGCCCGCACAAGCGGGUGGAGCAUGUGGUUUUAAUUUCGAAAGCAACGCGAAGAACCUUUACCAGGUCUUGACAUCCUUUGAACACUCUAGAGAUAGAGCUCCCCUCGGGGGGCAAGUGACAGUUGUUGCAUGCUGGUCGUCAGCUCGUGUCCGUGGAGAUGGUUGGG
This 837-nucleotide ribosomal RNA is filed under the name uncultured bacterium. RNAcentral's name for it is "bacterial SSU rRNA". It matches the Rfam family "Bacterial small subunit ribosomal RNA", at positions 260 to 1080 of the family's 1533-position model. The record is from RNAcentral.